CAGCUAGUUGGCGGGGUAACGGCCCACCAAGGCUUAGAUCGGUAGCCGGCCUGAGAGGGCGCACGGCCACACUGGAACUGAAACACGGUCCAGACUCCUACGGGAGGCAGCAGUGGGGAAUUUUGCGCAAUGGGGGAAACCCUGACGCAGCAACGCCGCGUGGAGGAUGAAGUCCCUUGGGACGUAAACUCCUUUCGACCCGGACGAUAAUGACGGUACGGGUGGAAGAAGCCCCGGCUAACUUCGUGCCAGCAGCCGCGGUAAUACGAGGGGGGCAAGCGUUGUUCGGAAUUAUUGGGCGUAAAGGGCGCGUACGCGGUGCGGUAAGUCACCUGUGAAACCUCUAGGCUCAACCUAGAGCCUGCAGGCGAAACUGCCGUGCUUGAGGGUGGGAGAGGUGCGUGGAAUUCCCGGUGUAGC
This 420-nucleotide ribosomal RNA is filed under the name uncultured Acidobacteriota bacterium. RNAcentral's name for it is "SSU rRNA". It matches the Rfam family "Bacterial small subunit ribosomal RNA", at positions 242 to 679 of the family's 1533-position model. The record is from RNAcentral. Lineage: Bacteria; Pseudomonadati; Acidobacteriota.